UGGGGAAUUUUCCGCAAUGGGCGAAAGCCUGACGGAGCAAUACCGCGUGAGGGAGGAAGGCUUUUGGGUUGUAAACUUCUUUUCUUAGGGAAGAAGAACUGACGGUACCUAAGGAAUCAGCAUCGGCUAACUCCGUGCCAGCAGCCGCGGUAAUACGGAGGAUGCAAGCGUUAUCCGGAAUUAUUGGGCGUAAAGCGUCCGCAGGUGGCUUUUCAAGUCUGCUGUCAAAGACCAGAGCUCAACUCUGGGCAGGCGGUGGAAACUGGGAAGCUAGAGUACGGUAGGGGUAGAGGGAAUUCCCGGUGUAGCGGUGAAAUGCGCAGAUAUCGGGAGGAACACCAGUAGCGAAGGCGGCUCGCUGGGCCAUUCCUGACGCUGAGACGCGAAAGCGUGGGGAGCAAACAGGAUUAGAUACCCGUGUAGUCC
This 426-nucleotide ribosomal RNA is filed under the name uncultured prokaryote. Its description in RNAcentral is "bacterial SSU rRNA". It matches the Rfam family "Bacterial small subunit ribosomal RNA", at positions 355 to 796 of the family's 1533-position model. The record is from RNAcentral.